This 400-nucleotide ribosomal RNA is filed under the name phytoplankton environmental sample. RNAcentral's name for it is "partial small subunit ribosomal RNA". It matches the Rfam family "Eukaryotic small subunit ribosomal RNA", at positions 587 to 989 of the family's 1831-position model. The record is from RNAcentral.
AGCUCCAAUAGCGUAUAUUAAAGUUGUUGCAGUUAAAAAGCUCGUAGUUGGAUUUGUGGCAAACGGUGAGCUCCCAUCACUAUUGGUGUUGGUGUUGCACAUCGUUGCCAUCCUUGGGUGGAAUCUGUGUGGCAUUAGGUUGUCGUGCAGGGGAUGCCCAUCGUUUACUGUGAAAAAAUUAGAGUGUUCAAAGCAGGCUUAUGCCGUUGAAUAUGUUAGCAUGGAAUAAUAAGAUAGGACCUCGGUACUAUUUUGUUGGUUUGCGUAUGGAGGUAAUGAUUAAUAGGAACAAAUGGGGGUAUUCGUAUUCCACUGUCAGAGGUGAAAUUCUUGGAUUUUUGGAAGACGAACUACUGCGAAAGCAUUUACCAAGGAUGUUUUCAUUAAUCAAGAACGAAAG